RNAcentral lists this ribosomal RNA (450 nucleotides) under uncultured bacterium. Its description in RNAcentral is "partial 16S ribosomal RNA". It matches the Rfam family "Bacterial small subunit ribosomal RNA", at positions 354 to 796 of the family's 1533-position model. The record is from RNAcentral.
GUGGGGAAUAUUGGACAAUGGGCGAAAGCCUGAUCCAGCCAUGCCGCGUGUGUGAAGAAGGUCUUCGGAUUGUAAAGCACUUUAAGUUGGGAGGAAGGGCAGUAAGUUAAUACCUUGCUGUUUUGACGUUACCGACAGAAUAAGCACCGGCUAACUUCGUGCCAGCAGCCGCGGUAAUACGAAGGGUGCAAGCGUUAAUCGGAAUUACUGGGCGUACAGCGCGCGUAGGUGGUUUUGUAAGUUGGAGGUGAAAUCCCCGGGCUCAACCUGGGAACUGCCUCCAAAACUGCAUGACUAGAGUACGGUAGAGGGUAGUGGAAUUUCCUGUGUAGCGGUGAAAUGCGUAGAUAUAGGAAGGAACACCAGUGGCGAAGGCGACUACCUGGACUGAUACUGACACUGAGGUGCGAAAGCGUGGGGAGCAAACAGGAUUAGAAACCCUGGUAGUCC